UCACCAAUGGCAAUAGACCUGACUGUUGUCUAAUAUACUUGAUUGUUGAUCAUUCUGAUUAUCUGUCCAAGUACAAAACUAUGCUAACAAGAAAUUGCACAUGAGCAUAUAGAAAGUACCUGAAAAGUUUCAGAUUGUUUAAUGUCUGAACUGCUGAAGUAGUUUCUACUGUUCAAUGAGGAUCAUAAGAUGCAGGGGGAAGGAAACACUCUUAUCAUGUUUUAAUCACAACAACCAAUGCAAUAGUCACAUGGUGUUACUUCGUCCCUUAUACCCGCC
RNAcentral lists this long non-coding RNA (279 nucleotides) under Mytilus galloprovincialis (Mediterranean mussel). The record is from RNAcentral. Lineage: Eukaryota; Metazoa; Mollusca; Bivalvia; Mytilida; Mytilidae.